RNAcentral lists this ribosomal RNA (432 nucleotides) under uncultured bacterium. RNAcentral's name for it is "partial 16S ribosomal RNA". It matches the Rfam family "Bacterial small subunit ribosomal RNA", at positions 29 to 507 of the family's 1533-position model. The record is from RNAcentral.
AACGAACGCUGGCGGCAUGCCUAACACAUGCAAGUCGAACGAGACCUUCGGGUCUAGUGGCGCACGGGUGCGUAACGCGUGGGAACCUGCCCUUAGGUUCGGAAUAACUCCCCGAAAGGGGUGCUAAUACCGGAUAAUGUCUUCGGACCAAAGAUUUAUCGCCUUUGGAUGGGCCCGCGUUGGAUUAGCUAGUUGGUAGGGUAAAAGCCUACCAAGGCGACGAUCCAUAGCUGGUCUGAGAGGAUGAUCAGCCACACUGGGACUGAGACACGGCCCAGACUCCUACGGGAGGCAGCAGUGGGAAUAUUGGACAUUGGGCGAAAGCCUGAUCCAGCAAUGCCGCGUGAGUGAUGAAGGCCUUAGGGUUGUAAAGCUCUUUUACCCGGGAUGAUAAUGACAGUACCGGGAGAAUAAGCUCCGGCUAACUCCGUG